This 445-nucleotide ribosomal RNA is filed under the name uncultured bacterium. RNAcentral's name for it is "partial 16S ribosomal RNA". It matches the Rfam family "Bacterial small subunit ribosomal RNA", at positions 354 to 796 of the family's 1533-position model. The record is from RNAcentral.
GUGAGGAAUAUUGCGCAAUGGAGGCAACUCUGACGCAGCCAUGCCGCGUGCAGGAAGAAGGCGCUACGCGUUGUAAACUGCUUUUAACCGGGAAGAAACCCCAGGACGUGUCCUGGGUUGACGGUACCGGAGGAAUAAGCACCGGCUAACUUCGUGCCAGCAGCCGCGGUAAUACGAAGGGUGCAAGCGUUAUCCGGAUUCAUUGGGUUUAAAGGGUGCGUAGGCGGAGCGUUAAGUAAGUGGUGAAAUCCUGCAGCUUAACUGUAGACUUGCCAUUGAUACUGGCGCUCUUGAGUGCGCUUGAAGUGGGCGGAAUUUGCCGUGUAGCGGUGAAAUGCUUAGAUAUGGCACAGAACACCAAUUGCGAAGGCAGCUCACUAAGGCGAUACUGACGCUGAGGCACGAAAGCGUGGGGAUCGAACAGGAUUAGAUACCCCAGUAGUCC